UGAGCAAUCUGCCCUUCUCAUCGGAAUAAGCGUUGAAACGACGUCUAAUGCCGAAUACGACCUCCUUUCGCAUGAUCGGAGGUGGAAAGCUCCGGCGGAGAAGGAUGAGCUCGCGGCCUAUCAGCUAGUUGGUGUGGGUAAUGGCCCACCAAGGCGACGACGGGUAGCCGGCCUGAGAGGGUGACCGGCCACACUGGGACUGAGACACGGCCCAGACCUCCGUACGGGAGCAG
Molecule: ribosomal RNA, 233 nt
Filed under: uncultured bacterium
Lineage: Bacteria
Description: partial 16S ribosomal RNA
Rfam family: Bacterial small subunit ribosomal RNA
Source: RNAcentral